Molecule: ribosomal RNA, 253 nt
Filed under: uncultured bacterium
Lineage: Bacteria
Description: partial 16S ribosomal RNA
Rfam family: Bacterial small subunit ribosomal RNA
Source: RNAcentral
UACAGAGGGUGCAAGCGUUAAUCGGAAUUACUGGGCGUAAAGCGUGCGUAGACGGCUAUGUAAGUCGGGUGUGAAAGCCCCGGGCUCAACCUGGGAAUUGCAUUCGAGACUGCAUAGCUAGGGUGCGGAAGAGGGAAGCGGAAUUUCCGGUGUAGCGGUGAAAUGCGUAGAUAUCGGAAGGAACACCAGUGGCGAAAGCGGCUUCCUGGUCCAGCACCGACGUUCAGGCACGAAAGCGUGGGGAGCAAACAGG